Molecule: ribosomal RNA, 328 nt
Filed under: uncultured eukaryote
Lineage: Eukaryota
Description: partial 18S ribosomal RNA
Rfam family: Eukaryotic small subunit ribosomal RNA
Source: RNAcentral
CCCUUAGAUGUUCUGGGCUGCACGCGCGCUACACUGAUGCGCUCAACGAGUUUUAACCUUGCCUGGAAAGGUUGGGUAAUCUUUUUAAAACGCAUCGUGAUGGGGAUAGAUUAUUGCAAUUAUUAAUCUUCAACGAGGAAUUCCUAGUAAGCGCAAGUCAUCAGCUUGCAUUGAUUACGUCCCUGCCCUUUGUACACACCGCCCGUCGCACCUACCGAUUGAAUGACUCGGUGAAAAAUUGGGACUGUGAUUGAAAUUGCUUCAUUGCGAAUUUAAUUAUGGAAACUUUCUUUAACCUAGGCAUUUAGAGGAAGGUGAAGUCGUAACA